Apis florea (little honeybee) is the source of this 1113-nucleotide long non-coding RNA. RefSeq lists it as uncharacterized. The record is from RefSeq and is a predicted model, not a curated record. NCBI's taxonomy places the organism in Eukaryota, Metazoa, Arthropoda, Insecta, Hymenoptera, Apidae.
GAUCGUAUCGAUUGUCCAAACGAGAACGAACGUUUUGCAUAUACGUGGAAAACGAAGCCGCGUGCGUUAUGCGCCGCUCUGUUCCCGUUUAACUUGGUUUCCGGGCGUGCCGAACAGCUCCCAAAUACGAUUAGCGGAGGCUUUACGAAACUUGACGCGGCUGAAUCCCGUUAGGGGGAUGUUAUAUUUGGUUACGGCACGUUGCUUUCGUGUUCAUCGAAUUCGACCAAAGAAAAUAAAGUUUCGCGUAUCGUGAACAUCAAAUUUUCACCAUCUGUCCGCCGUGGCUUGAAACUUUCCCUUCUUAAUCAUCUUUUUUCUUACGAUGUUUCAUCACCGUAUGUAUAUAUGUGUCUAAACGUCAUAUUCUAAUCUAUCGUUUUUCUUUGUGCGUGCAUAAUACAAAAAGUGGAAGAAGGAAGAAAAGUUAUUCUAAAAAUUGUGAAUUGAAAGGUUUAUAUCGAUUGGUUUUUGGAACGAGCAUUGACUUUCGUUUCAAUUUCUUAUUCAUCGUAUUAAAUUAUGAAUAAAAAGUGACAUCGAAUAUGUAUACAUGUAUACGUAUGUUUAAACGCCAUAUUCUAACCUAUCGUUUUCUUAUUCGCGUAUUCAGGUUUUCACUGUGCGUGUAUAAUAAAAAAAUGGAGAAAAGAAGAAAAGUUAUUUUAAAAAUUGUGAAUUGAAAGGAUCGUUUAUAUUGAUUGAUUUUUGGAACGAGCAUUUCGUUUCAGUUUCUUAUUUAAUGUAUUAAGUUACGAAUAAGAAGUAACAUCGAAUUUUUUUUGGACGUGUAUAAUAAAAAAAAUGGAGGAAGGAAGAAAAGUUAUUCUAAAAAUUAUGAAUUGAAAGGAUCGUUUAUAUUGAUUGGUUUUUGGAACGAGCAUUGGCUUUCGUUUUAGUUUCUUAAUUUAUCGUAUUAAGUUACGAAUAAAAAGUGACAUCGAGUUGAUACAAUAUUUAGAUACUCUCGUUUGAUUCAACACGCGUGCAGCGCGUGUACUACGUACUUAUGUGCUUGUCGCAGAUUCCCUGACACGAUAACAUACAUAUCAUACCUGCCAUACCAAACUGACAAACAUUUGUAAAUGAAUCAUAUAAAGGAAUGGAAAAGAA